ACUAUUUUGGCAGAUAAGUGCGGUGGAUUUAGAAUCUAUUUAUGUGUUUUUGUUUGGGCGCAUGUAGUA
RNAcentral lists this transfer RNA (69 nucleotides) under Procryptotermes hesperus. Its description in RNAcentral is "tRNA-Leu". Lineage: Eukaryota; Metazoa; Arthropoda; Insecta; Blattodea; Kalotermitidae. The record is from RNAcentral.